AGUAAGUCCCUCAGGCAAACCCUCUUCACCCUUGGCCUCAAAGGAAGCUACAAAAAAGAUUUAACAGUUCAUUAAAGUUCAGUAAAACAGUUCCCGCAAUGCCCAGUCACCUGAAGGAGACAGGUCUGUGUUGGAGGGUAAAAAAAAAAAAAGUAAUAAUUAGACAACAAAACCGGGGGAGGAAAAAGGACCCACAAGGACAAGCGAGUGUUGAUGACAUCCCCCCCCCCUUAAGAAUAGUGCAAUGUCAUAUAUCACAGUUGUAGAACUAUGGUCAAAUUAUAGUAUAUUUAUAAUAUCCUCACUCAAUAUCAUCAUCAAUAUACAUCCAAGUCAAUGAUACUAAAGAUCUUUAAUAAUAAUAUUAAUAAUACUUUAAUAUGUAAGAAUUGUCAAGAUUUUUUUAUUAUGAAUAAAACUGUUUAAUGAAAUUGGGAAUUGAAGUGAUAAAUGACAAUGUAAAUCUAUUUGGCAAGUUUAAUCUAAUGUACUUAACUACGUCUGAAAUAAAGUUUAAAAAAACCACCAGGCCAUUUUUUCCUGAUUACUAGACUAUUAUCAUCAUGAAUCAAAUCUGCACACAAUACACUUCUUGAAACCUCCAGUAAAUAUAAUUUAAACUAAUUUCAAGUUUUACAAUUUAUUUAAAAAUCCUUCACUGAUUAAGAUUAUUAUUAUUAGGGGGGAAAGAUUUUUAAAGUUAUAACACAUGCAGUUAACACCAAUACCCACACCUAAACCGAAGACAUAAUAAAUAAAUUAAAAAUUAUAAAAGCAAUUGGGCCAGAGUUCAAAAAAUACAAAAAAAAACAUUGUGCAUAAAACUUAAAACAGUUUUCAGUCACCAAAGGUUCAUGAUUAAUGAAAAAAAUUGGAAUAACACAUAAAUAUUUGAACAAAACGGUAUUUAAAUAUCUAGAUAACAAACAGUGCAGACUAGUAAAGAAAUACUACUGACAACACCAUUCAAUUUUAGAAAGCCUGUAAAAUCUUUAAAUUUUUAAUUUUAGUAAUGUUUUGAAUUUCGUAAUUUCUUAUAAAUUCAAAAAUUAUAUUUAUGUAAACAUACAUUAUAAGUGUAUGAGACGUAAGAUUUAUGCAAGGCCAGACCAUUAUAAUCUCUGCUUCUUAGAAAUUGGUCAGAUAACAAAUAAAAAAAUAAUAAAAUUUAUUCUAUUUCCUAUUAUAAAUAGUGAUAAAUUGUUAAUAAAUAAUUACUAAUAAAUUAUUUCACAGCAUUUGGUGCAAAGAAUAAGCCAACAAUGCAAAACAUUUUGAGGCUCCUACAAAUUGAAAUUCAGUGUUGGCCCAAAAAAUGCUUAGACUACUAAUUUCAAAAAGAUGUAAUAUGCGGGAAGUUUUACCCACAUUUCAUCACUAUUUGCUUAUAUCUAAACGCAAAUAAAAUAGUGCAUUGCUCAUUUAUUUAUAUACGUAAUGUAUAUUCAACAGUUAUAUCACAAACUGGCCAAAAUCAAAUAAGGCAUGCUUGGUUAAACAUUAUAGGUUUUUUUAAAACUGUUCCAGCACCAGCGCAAGGCUUCACAGUGCAGUAAUAAGCACACACAAAAAUACAUUGGCUUCUGUCUAAAUUCAUGCCAAUAACAAAAUCUUUUGUUUUUAUUUAAUUAAAUCGACAAAACAGACAUGCAAUAAACUGAAUUAAAUAGAAAAAAAAAAAAAAACAAGAAAAAAAACAAUAUAAUGUUUUCCUAAACCAUAAUCCAGUAAAACUCUUUUGGACUGCAUUGAUAUCCAUACCUCCCGAUAAAAUAAACAAAUACAUACCGAUACAUUCAAAAUAAUUAAGUAUUAAAAAUAAAUAAAUAACAUAGAUAUUUAAUAACACAGUGCAGAUUCAAACGCACCAUUGUGUGACACACUAAUAUAUAA
Cimex lectularius (bed bug) is the source of this 1893-nucleotide long non-coding RNA. RefSeq lists it as uncharacterized. The record is from RefSeq and is a predicted model, not a curated record. The transcript is spliced from 3 exons. NCBI's taxonomy places the organism in Eukaryota, Metazoa, Arthropoda, Insecta, Hemiptera, Cimicidae.